This 493-nucleotide ribosomal RNA is filed under the name uncultured bacterium. Its description in RNAcentral is "partial 16S ribosomal RNA". It matches the Rfam family "Bacterial small subunit ribosomal RNA", at positions 27 to 507 of the family's 1533-position model. The record is from RNAcentral.
GAGUGAACGCUGGCGGUAGGCCUAACACAUGCAAGUCGAACGGCAGCACAGUAUGAGCUUGCUCUUACGGGUGGCGAGUGGCGGACGGGUGAGGAAUACAUCGGAAUCUACUUUUUCGUGGGGGAUAACGUAGGGAAACUUACGCUAAUACCGCAUACGACCUACGGGUGAAAGCAGGGGAUCUUCGGACCUUGCGCGAUUGAAUGAGCCGAUGUCGGAUUAGCUAGUUGGCGGGGUAAAGGCCCACCAAGGCGACGAUCCGUAGCUGGUCUGAGAGGAUGAUCAGCCACACUGGAACUGAGACACGGUCCAGACUCCUACGGGAGGCAGCAGUGGGGAAUAUUGGACAAUGGGCGCAAGCCUGAUCCAGCCAUACCGCGUGGGUGAAGAAGGCCUUCGGGUUGUAAAGCCCUUUUGUUGGGAAAGAAAAGCAGCAGGUUAAUACCCCGCUGUUCUGACGGUACCCAAAGAAUAAGCACCGGCUAACUUCGUG